AAGAAAAGAAAAUAUCAUCUUUUCUUCAUCUUCUCUCCACCGAAAAAAAUGGCAGCAAAGAAAGGGUUUAGAAGCUGGAAACUUUCAGCAAAGAAACUCCCUUUAUAAUGAUGAAAAUCGAGAUUUGGACCUAGAACGGAAAGAAAUCGAUUAAGGGAUAAUUACAUCUUUUUUUUCACCUUUGUGAUAUCGAGAGUUUCCAGGUUAGCUCGGGUUGGAGGCCGUCAGAGAUAUUAUCACACUGUCAAGCUAACGCUAUUGGUGUAGUGAUUUCAAGUACUUUGAGCCUAUGACCUGUAUAGGAGUUUAAAUAUUAGAGUAUGUGAUAUGGCUUUAACCAUAUGUGUUGGCUUAUUUUGAUUAUGGGGUUGUAAAUCUAUUUUAAUUAUGCAUGCAUGUGCUAUGGUAUUAUGUGAUGAGUUUAUAAUGAUUAUAGUAUGAAUGUGGUAAA
Molecule: long non-coding RNA, 451 nt
Organism: Gossypium arboreum
Lineage: Eukaryota; Viridiplantae; Streptophyta; Magnoliopsida; Malvales; Malvaceae
Exons: 3
Source: RefSeq, a predicted model, not a curated record